AGAUAGCAGGCAAAUUUGAAGAGGGAAUUCAAAUUAAACUAACUGUGAGAUGGCUUCUUGAAAUUCAGGAUUUUGAGUCCAUAAACACAUCCUGACAUAAAAUGAUUUAUUUCUAAAGGAAAACACAGCUCUUUUAGGUAAACGUUAUAUUGAUUGAUAUUUAUUAUAUGAGUUAAUUUAAAUGAACAUUUAUAUUCAAAUUGGGAUUGUUAAAUUAUUGAAACUGCAAGUGAGGUGGAUUUUGAAUGAGUAAGUUAUGUACUAUAUCUUCUCCAUGUAGAGAUGACAUAUACUUUAUUUAGUAUGCUUUGUCAAUAAGCAGGCCUCAUUUAUGUAGAAGAAUGCUUAAUGUUCACAUUGUAUUAUUGAACCAUGAAUAAUUAUUAUGUGAUACUGUUGGCUGUGUUUGAGAAAGAAUCUGAGUUUGGCAGUCAAUUCUUUAGCUUGAGGUUGUACUAUAAAAGCUAUUUUGUAUUAUAGUAUUUUCUAUCUAGUUUUAUGAGUAUAGUGCUUUCUAGACAUUUGUCCUUAUAUUUUCAUACAAUUUAUAGACUGCUUCUUUUAAAAAGACUGAUGUCGGUGUGAUAAACUUUCACCGAUAUAUUUAAUCCAUGUCAUGAAACAUUGCUUCCUUACCAAAAGCACCACUAUGUGAUUUUUUUAACAAGGCGUUGUUUUCCACUGCUACAUCAGAACAUGUUCUCUUUUCGAAACACAUAAAAUGAAUAUGGAAAUGAAUAUUUUCUUGUUCAUUCUAAAAAGAAUAUAAAAUAUAAUUUGUCAUUUUCCUUACAAAUUAUUGUUAACAGGUCUCAUCAAUACACAAAUAAUCUCUGGAGGCAAGAUAGUAUGUUUUAUUUUAAAAAAUUCUGACACAGUCUUUCAUAUAUUCAGAAUGUGUGUAAGAUAGCAUUGUAAGUAUAUUACAUUUAUAUUUAUGGAGAUUUGUUUUGUCUGUAUGGAUAUGUGUAUGCAUGUUCAUUUGUGUGUGCAUGUGAUUAUGUGUAUGUGUGUGCCCAUGUAUGUGGAGGCCAGAGAGGUCAAUGUUGGAUAUCUACAAUAUAUAUAUAUAUCUGUAGUCUGUCUGCCUAUCUAUCUAUCUGUAAUAUACAUCUAUAGUAUAACUUAAAAGAUACAAAAUAUCUAAAAAUACAGUACUGUGAAUGUGGGUUUAUAUUUAAAACCAAAAAGAUGAAGGUAGGCUGUAGGCUGUUGUUAGAUGAUAAAGGAAAGGACUGAAGUCCUCAAGGACACAGUACAGAAGCUGUUAACCAUUAGAAGUUGAAAGUAGAAAAGAGUGUAAGUUCUAUACAAAAUGUGCCAAUAGUAAUAUGUGUGUGUGCGUGUGCGUGUGCGUGUGUGUGUGUGUGUGUGUGAGAAGAAAGAACAAGGUAACCCCGUGAUAACUGCUUCAUUGAGAAGGGUCGACAGUAUGACCUUGACUCCUCCUGAGCUUGCUUAUACUUGGCCUUGUGCUGCUGUUAAUAAUGAGGAAAGUGUUAAUGAUUGGGGACAGAAAUCACAUGUGAAUAAAUGUACCUUAUGAAUCACAAUGAAAUAUUCUCUUCGUUUACCGUGUCUAAGAGCAAAUUCACAUCACAUGGUAGAACAGAGCAGCUUGUCCUGCAUGAGGUUCGGUUGAGAGUGUGUUGACCAAUGCUGUUUCCCGGGAGGCUGGUGUUUAAGAAGGGAGCAGAUACGCCCUGGAGCGUGCCUCCUUACAUCUUCUUUUAAAUCUUUUCCUGUCUUUUUCCUUAUGAUUAGGUAUCCUAGUGGAGCUAUUGUUUAAGCAUAUGAUUCAGUUAUGUUAAUUCAGAAGGAAUAUUUACUGAGUCACAUGAAAGGCUAGGCACAGUAUGCUGUCAUUAAGCUCUUAGUGUUACUGAAUAUAUGUAGGUGGCACUGUACUCUCUUAAUGGAUUUGCAGUCUAAUAGUAGUGCUUAAGGUGGAUUUUCUAUACCUUGGAAUUGACUUUUUAUUAACCUGUGUGAUGGCCUUACUGCAAUAGGCUUACAUAGGAAUCACAGUUUCUCAGAAAGAAUAUGUCACCUAGCAAGUCCAACGGGAUAGAGAUGCUUUAUAAUAAAUCUUGAAUAAUCACAUUUGUUUUUAAAUGUUUUAUUCUGAAAUAGCACUAGACCUAAAGAAAGCUUGUAAAACAGUAUAGAGAAUUCUCUUGUCUCUCCUCCACUGCAUAUAAAAUCUUUCACAAUCAAAGUAGUAGUACAGUUAUUAAAACUAGGGGAACAACAUUGAUAUAAUAUUUUUUAACUAUCUGCCUUAGUCAUUUGCCAGCCUUUUAACUAAUCAGCUUUUUUAGAUUUCUUGGGUCAAAGCAUCUUAUAAAUCACUUUAUUUUUCAUUUCUCUCUGUUCUUUUCUUGCCUGUGAAUAGUCCUUAGUCAUUUUUUUUGUCUUUUAUGAAAUUAACACCUUUGAAGGUUACUGACUAGUUAUUUUUCAGAAUGAUGCUCAUCCAUUACAAUUUUAAGGCCAUUCUGCUUUGAACUGGGGAUGGGAGUUGCUGAGGAAGGCACAACAGUGUUGACAGCUAAAUAAAAUGGAGACUCAGGCAUAGAAGGCAGCAUAGCUAGAGGGAGGAAGUUCAGAUGAGGGGAGAUGACUAGAGGCUCAGGGUAUCUAUCUAUCUAUCUAUCUAUCUAUCUAUCUAUCUAUCUAUCUAUCUAUCUAUCUACCUACCUACCUAUCCCAUAAGGUUGGAGAGUGACUAAAAAAAAUCCGAGGCUUCUAGAAGUGAACUAAACCCACACUUGCUAGGGACAAGGUGUGGAGCAGUGCAGUCCCGGGGAAAGGCUGAAGGGUAUAGCCUGAAUGGACAGGAAGGAAGAAGGGCUAGGUUUAAGUCCUGGAGUAGAAGGUUGGUGUAAGGGACUUCUCAACGUGCUAGCACAUGUCUCCUCAUUACUCCACACAACAUGUGGUGUUCUGAAAUUCAUUUCCUUCUCCUACCACUAUCUGGAGGUCUUUGUUUUUAGCAUCAUGGAAUUUCGAGCAAGCACGUGUCAAAGGAACUGUAAAGUGAGAUUUUGACAUUUGGGUCACACGAUGCUGAACUGUGCUGUCUGAUUUCUCAGUCCAUGUAGCAUGAAGUAUUGAGUGGGUCUACUGCCAUUUGUGUAAAUAAUAAUAGUUGGAAACUUCUAGCCAAAUCAAUACAUUACUCCAGUUCAUCCUACUUGUUGAUUUUUUCUUUUCAUUGUAGAAAAUUUAAAAUUGCCUAUGAUACUUAUUCUGUUUCUAUUUGGACACAGCCAGGUUUAAAUGUUUGCCAUUACAAGCUACUGUUACCCUGGAAUAUGUCUCAGGUGACUUCAUUUGCCAUCAUUCUGAGGUGGAAACCAGGAGGGGCAAUGCUGUGUCGCAAAGGCCGGCUGGCUCUACAAUAGGUAAAUCCCAGACGCUGCGGAGAAUAGGCCCCAAAUUGAGCUGUACAUUUUUAGUGUUGGCCUCUUAGUAAUUUCAGUCACUGAAAUAAGCAUUCUGUAUCCAUUGUACUAAGUUAUAUUUGCUUUGUUUCUCGUUGCUCUGAUGAGAUAUCUGGAGAAGCAGCCUAAGGGAGGAAGGAUGUAUUUUGGCUCAAGAUUUCCGAGGGUCCAUCAUGGCAGGGAAGGCGUGGCAACUAAAACUUGGGGCUGAGGCUGUAUGAGCUUGCUCAUAGCUGAUGUGGGUGGACCAGGAAACAGAAACAGACUAGAAGUAACGUGACGUGUUAAACUCUGUCACUUUCUGACAGAUGGCCAAGGUGGUGACAACAUCUUCUUCAGUAAAUAUGAGCAGAUUUACAGAGAUUUGAACUGGAGAAACAGAUGAAAUAGAAGAGAGCUUUUGAGGGGAGAAAAAAAAGAGAGAUAGAAGGUUUUCAUGUUCUUGUGUCUUAAGUUCUUGUAAAUCUUUAAAGGUCCUGUGACCUACCAAGGGAAAUUAAUUGAAGUUUGCUAAAAAAGGAAAGUCAUGCUUUUAAACAAAUGCCCAGAGCAAUAAUCGUACUGAAUAAUGACCUAUAAUUGUAUUAAAAGCCAGUUGCCAGUUGAACUGGGAAAAUAUAAUUGCAUAUAUUUAUCUGCCCUACCUAUAGAUGAUCAUUCUAAAUUAAUUUUUACAUAAACCAAAUAUUUUUUUCUGAUUUUGUUGGUAAUUUUGUCCACACAGAAAGACUACAGCUCACAAAGCAAUACUAUUAGUAAGGUAAAGGGCCCAGGUUUCUUCCUUUCUUUCUUUUCUAAUUGUUAAUUGACAGUGAAUUGCUGUGAAGUUGAAUCCCUUGCAUCUCACUUGACC
This 4299-nucleotide long non-coding RNA is filed under the name Mus musculus (house mouse). RNAcentral's name for it is "long non-coding RNA chr12:41112506-41116805". The record is from RNAcentral. Lineage: Eukaryota; Metazoa; Chordata; Mammalia; Rodentia; Muridae.